UACGUAGGGGGCGAGCGUUGUCCGGAUUUAUUGGGCGUAAAGAGCUCGUAGGCGGUUCGGUAAGUCGAAUGUGAAAUCUCCACGCUCAACGUGGAGGGGUCAUUCGAAACUGCCGUGACUUGAGUACGGUAGGGGAGUGUGGAAUUCCCGGUGUAGCGGUGAAAUGCGCAGAGAUCGUAAGGAAGACCAGUGGCGAAGGCGGGUCUCUGGACAGUUCCUGACACUGAGGCACGAAGGCCAGGGGAGCAAACGGG
Molecule: ribosomal RNA, 254 nt
Filed under: uncultured bacterium
Lineage: Bacteria
Description: partial 16S ribosomal RNA
Rfam family: Bacterial small subunit ribosomal RNA
Source: RNAcentral